CCAUAGUAAAGAUGGAGAGAGGUAAAGGGAGAAUUUGGGGAUGGUUAAUUAAAUUUUUCCUAUAAUGGGUCGUAUUACAAUUAAAUGGCCGUCGUUUUACAUAGCUAGUUGGUGUGGUAAGAGCGCACCAAGGCAACGAUCAGUAGCUGGUCUGAGAGGACGACCAGCCACACUGGGACUGAGACACGGCCCAGACUCCUACGGGAGGCAGCAGUGAGGAAUUUUCCGCAAUGGGCGAAAGCCUGACGGAGCAAUACCGCGUGAGGGAGGAAGGUUCUUGGAUUGUAAACCUCUUUUCUCAGAGAAGAAUAAUGACGGUAUCUGAGGAAUAAGCAUCGGCUAACUCCGUGCCAGCAGCCGCGGUAAUACGGAGGAUGCAAGCGUUAUCCGGAAUGAUUGGGCGUAAAGGGUCUGUAGGUGGUUGUUCAAGUCUGCUGUUAAAGCGUCUGGCUUAACCAGAUAAAGGCGGUGGAAACUGAACGACUAGAGUGCGGUAGGGGUAGAGGGAAUUCCCAGUGUAGCGGUGAAAUGCGUAGAUCUUGGGA
RNAcentral lists this ribosomal RNA (545 nucleotides) under uncultured bacterium. RNAcentral's name for it is "bacterial SSU rRNA". It matches the Rfam family "Bacterial small subunit ribosomal RNA", at positions 141 to 702 of the family's 1533-position model. The record is from RNAcentral.